Molecule: small nuclear RNA, 98 nt
Organism: Carya illinoinensis
Lineage: Eukaryota; Viridiplantae; Streptophyta; Magnoliopsida; Fagales; Juglandaceae
Source: RefSeq, a predicted model, not a curated record
CGACCAUUCGGGUACAUCCAAUAAAAUUGGAACGAUAUAGAGAAGAUUAGCAUGGCCCCUACGCAAGGAUGACACGCACAAAUAGAGAAAAGAGUUUU